UACGGAGGGUGCAAGCGUUGUCCGGAAUUAUUGGGCGUAAAGAGCGCGUAGGUGGUUUAUCAAGUCAUUUGUGAAAACUUUAGGCUUAACUUAAAGAUUGCAAGUGAUACUGAUAUACUUGAGCACAGCAGAGGAAAGUGGAAUUCCUGGUGUAGCGGUGAAAUGCGCAGAUAUCAGGAAGAACACCAGUGGCGAAGGCGGCUUUCUGGGCUGUUGCUGACACUGAGGCGCGAAAGCUAGGGGAGCGAACAGG
RNAcentral lists this ribosomal RNA (253 nucleotides) under uncultured bacterium. Its description in RNAcentral is "partial 16S ribosomal RNA". It matches the Rfam family "Bacterial small subunit ribosomal RNA", at positions 524 to 776 of the family's 1533-position model. The record is from RNAcentral.